UUAUCACCAAAUAUUUAAACAUUAAACUUAAAAACUUCCAAAAGAUAUUGUCUCAAACAUUGUCAGGUACCACACCACAUGUUCAAAAUACAAAAGCUUAACACAACCACAUAAAACACGAAUUUAAAUUUGUUCACAACAAAAACAACUAAAUAAACCAACUAGUAAAAGAAAUAAAUGACUGAAAGCUUGUAAAUUUUCACUCAUUUUGGUGAGCUUUCAGUCAUCAUCUGAACUCGCUUCUUCUUCAUCUUCC
This 256-nucleotide long non-coding RNA is filed under the name Trifolium pratense (red clover). RNAcentral describes it as "long non-coding RNA (TPRA_LNC007907)". The record is from RNAcentral. Lineage: Eukaryota; Viridiplantae; Streptophyta; Magnoliopsida; Fabales; Fabaceae.